AGUUAAACCCUUUUGUUAAUUUCACUUACGUUUCUUAAUCAUUUCGGAAUGAAAAUAAACCCCCCACUCUCUCCAAAAAAAAUUUGUUUUUUUAAAUUUUGAUUUUAGGUAUAUAAACACAAAAAUAUGUAAUAUGUAAAUGCCAUAAAACUUUAAGUUCAAAAUAUUGACAAAUCCCAAAAUAUUAAGUAUUGAAAAAAUCCCAAAAUAUUAAAUAUUUACAAAAUCCCAAAAUAUUAAAUAUUGAAAAAAUCCCAAAAUAUUAAAUAUUUACAAAAUCCCAAAAUAUUAAAUAUUGACAAAAUCCCGAAAUAUUAUCACGACGGAGCAUGACAAUUUGAUAUUACGGAUCUGUUACUAUGUAAAUUAUGUACAGCAGGGUCAGAUUUAAUGAAAUGCUGGAAGUAGGUACAUUUCUUAAUCACUUAUUUGUAUUUGUGCUUUAAAUGGAGUGUCUAGCUAGGCAUUAUAUUUGAGUCGAGAGUGAAGUAUUGUAGAGAUAAUUUUUUUUAAAUCAUUUGUAGAUUUUUGUUACAAUAUUCGUUGUCGUUAAUGAAUAUUUUGAAUAAAAACCGAUUCUUAAAAUCAACCUUCCCAAAGUUAACAAUCUAUUAAGAUUUUAAAAAUUUGGGGUCUUGCCAAACAAAUAUGCACCGUAAAAACGUCUCAUGGGUUUCAAAUGAAUUCAAAAACAUUUCUCUACAAUACUGGAUUCCCAGCUCAACUGCUAUUUCCAGCCAGUCACUCCCUUUAACUUGAAUUGGUUCAACCACCUCAUUAAAAUUCACCCGCUUCUCUUCAUUCAUUAAACCUUGUCCCUGGACAGUCAAGCACAACAUUAUCUAAAUGACAAAAAGGUUGUAUAUUGUAUUUAAAUAAAAUAGUUUAAUUUUAUUUUCAGA
Molecule: long non-coding RNA, 902 nt
Organism: Eurytemora carolleeae
Lineage: Eukaryota; Metazoa; Arthropoda; Copepoda; Calanoida; Temoridae
Exons: 2
Source: RefSeq, a predicted model, not a curated record